Vespula vulgaris is the source of this 600-nucleotide long non-coding RNA. RefSeq lists it as uncharacterized. The transcript is spliced from 3 exons. Lineage: Eukaryota; Metazoa; Arthropoda; Insecta; Hymenoptera; Vespidae. The record is from RefSeq and is a predicted model, not a curated record.
UCGUAACGUGCGAGAAACUGAAAAUGAUUUUAAUUAAAAAUUUUAAAAUCGAAUCUUUAAUUGAAUUUUCCAAAUACGAAGUAUUAGUCUGCCUUUGUAUUCGGACGAGUGAAUAUCGAAGACCCCUCAAGAUGUCUUUCUUACUUAAAUUUGAAGUACGAUCUUUGGUUACGCGUGACGUCAACAAAAUCGGAUCUUUGAUCAACUUUCAUAGUUAUUGAAUCAGUCUUCCUUUCUACUCGGACGAGUGAACAUCGAAGCUGCAAUUAUCAACGAAUAAUUAAAAACAUCAUUGCAAUCGCGCGCGAAGCAACGAUGAAAUCGAGUUUUUGUAUCGUUAAAAUAAAAAACAAAAAUUCGCGAAGUAGAAGCAAUGUUUGUUCGUUCGCGUUUCGCGAUUUAAACCAUAAGUGUUUUUGCAUAGACUGCGUGCAAUGCAGUUCUUAGAGUCAGUGUUUGUUCGUAAAGUUAUUUGCUUUCUUUACAGUCGCACAGACUGUAUUUAUAAUAUAUAGUAGAGUUUCGCGAAAUAAAUUCAGUGAUCGUUCGUUAAUAAAUAAUAAUAUCGCGAAUUAGAGUCAGUGCAUCACCGAAGAGGAU